This 433-nucleotide ribosomal RNA is filed under the name uncultured bacterium. RNAcentral's name for it is "partial 16S ribosomal RNA". It matches the Rfam family "Bacterial small subunit ribosomal RNA", at positions 29 to 507 of the family's 1533-position model. The record is from RNAcentral.
AACGAACGCUGGCGGCAGGCCUAACACAUGCAAGUCGAGCGGACCUUUCGGGGUCAGCGGCGGACGGGUGAGUAACGCGUGGGAAUAUGCCCUUCUCUACGGAAUAGUCCUGGGAAACUGGGGGUAAUACCGUAUACGCCCUUUGGGGGAAAGAUUUAUCGGGGAAGGAUUAGCCCGCGUUGGAUUAGGUAGUUGGUGGGGUAAUGGCCUACCAAGCCGACGAUCCAUAGCUGGUUUGAGAGGAUGAUCAGCCACACUGGGACUGAGACACGGCCCAGACUCCUACGGGAGGCAGCAGUGGGGAAUCUUAGACAAUGGGGGCAACCCUGAUCUAGCCAUGCCGCGUGAGUGACGAAGGCCUUAGGGUUGUAAAGCUCUUUCAGCUGGGAAGAUAAUGACGGUACCAGCAGAAGAAGCCCCGGCUAACUCCGUG